Abrus precatorius (Indian licorice) is the source of this 107-nucleotide small nucleolar RNA. Lineage: Eukaryota; Viridiplantae; Streptophyta; Magnoliopsida; Fabales; Fabaceae. The record is from RefSeq and is a predicted model, not a curated record.
AUAGCAUGAUGUGCACAUCACCUUAAUAGAUCUUUGAACCUCUCCCAAGCUUCAUACAAUGAUUCUGAGUCUUGUUGAGUGAAGGAGAUAAUUUCAUUCCUCAUCUU